RNAcentral lists this transfer RNA (87 nucleotides) under Butyricimonas virosa. Its description in RNAcentral is "tRNA-Leu". It matches the Rfam family "tRNA". From Rfam's summary of the family: Transfer RNA (tRNA) molecules are approximately 80 nucleotides in length. Their secondary structure includes four short double-helical elements and three loops (D, anti-codon, and T loops). Further hydrogen bonds mediate the characteristic L-shaped molecular structure. tRNAs have two regions of fundamental functional importance: the anti-codon, which is responsible for specific mRNA codon recognition, and the 3' end, to which the tRNAs corresponding amino acid is attached (by aminoacyl-tRNA synthetases). tRNAs cope with the degeneracy of the genetic code in two manners: having more than one tRNA (with a specific anti-codon) for a particular amino acid; and 'wobble' base-pairing, i.e. permitting non-standard base-pairing at the 3rd anti-codon position. The record is from RNAcentral. Lineage: Bacteria; Pseudomonadati; Bacteroidota; Bacteroidia; Bacteroidales; Odoribacteraceae.
GCCCAGAUGGUGGAAUUGGUAGACACGCUAGUUUCAGGGACUAGUGGCCGUACGGCUGUGCAGGUUCGAGUCCUGUUCUGGGUACAA